RNAcentral lists this ribosomal RNA (1234 nucleotides) under metagenome. Its description in RNAcentral is "bacterial SSU rRNA". It matches the Rfam family "Archaeal small subunit ribosomal RNA", at positions 164 to 1429 of the family's 1478-position model. The record is from RNAcentral.
UUUUUUCUGGAAUGAAAUAUUUUUGAAAUUCGAGCUUAAGGAUAGGGCUGCGGCUGAUUAGGUUGUUGUUAGUGUAAUGGACUAACAAGCCGAUGAUCAGUAAGGGCUCUUAGCGGAGAGGCCCUGAGAAGGAAUCUGAGACACUAUUCCUAGCCUUACGGGGUGCAGCAGUCGAGGAAAUUUUACAAUGCUCGCAAGAGUGAUAGAAUGAAUCAGAGUGUUUCUCUUAGAGAAGCUUUUUUCUGUUGUAAAAAGACAGAAGAAUAAGGACUGGGCAAGACCGGUGCCAGCCGCCGCGGUAAUACCGGCGGUCCAAGUCGCAUCCACAUUUAUUGGGUCUAAAACAUUCGUAGCUUGUUUUAUAAGUCUCUUGUGAAAUUCUAUAUCUCAAAUAUAGAGCGUGCAAGAGAUACUAUAUUACUAGAGACCGGAAGACGUAAAGAGUAUGGUUGAGGUAGCGGUAAAAUGUGUUAAUCUCAAUUAGACUAACAAUUAGCGGAGGCACUUUACGAGUACGGAUCUGACAGUGAGGGAUGAAGGCUAGGGGCGCAGAAGGGAUUAGAUACCCCUGUAGUCCUAGCAGUAAACACUGCUCACUAAACAUCAGUGCCUCCUCGAGAGGCAUUGGUGCUGUAGAGAAGUCGAAGAGUGAGCUACCUGGGAAGUAUAGUCGCAAGGCUGAAACUUAAAGGAAUUGGCGGGGAGGCACUACAACGGGUGACGCGUGCGGUUCAAUUAGAUUAUACACCGUGAACCUCACCAGGAGCGAUAGCAGAAUGAAGGUCAGUCUAAAGGGCUUACCUGACACGCUAAGAGGAGCUGCAUGGCCGACAUAAGCCUGUGUCGUGAGAUGACUUGUUAAAUCAAGUAACAGGCGAGACCCUCGUGCUUAGUUGCUACGUAAGAGUACACUAAGCAGACUGCCUUGGUAACAAGGAGGAGGGUGGGGGCAAUGUCAGGUGGGUACAACCCGAAUCCCCUGGGCUACACGCGCGCGGCAAUGUCAUAUUCAAAGAGAUGCGACUCUGAAAGGAGAAGCUAAUCCCAUAAAGUAUGGCUUAGUACAGAUUGAAGUUUGCAACUUAACUUCAAGACGAUGGAAUCCGUAGUAAUCGGGUGUAAUCAACGCCCGGUGAAUACGUCACGGCCUCUUGCACACACUGCCUGUCAAACCAACCGAGUUGUGCUUUGGCGAGGUCCUUCGGGAACGAACCUCGGUACGACAAGGUAGGUU